Multifurca ochricompacta is the source of this 105-nucleotide non-coding RNA. The record is from the annotation of a GenBank genome assembly. Lineage: Eukaryota; Fungi; Basidiomycota; Agaricomycetes; Russulales; Russulaceae.
GCUUGGAUGGCUCAGUUGGUUAGAGCGCAGGUCUCAUAUUAUUAAUAUGAGUGAUCAGCUGAUCAUCAAAUCCUGAGGUCGUGAGUUCGACCCUCACUCCGAGCA